This 65-nucleotide transfer RNA is filed under the name Vorticeros sp. n. MW-2019. Its description in RNAcentral is "tRNA-Asn". The record is from RNAcentral. Lineage: Eukaryota; Metazoa; Platyhelminthes; Prolecithophora; Plagiostomidae.
UAAGAAAUGAUGUUUUAGCAUGUUAAGCUGUUAACUUAAAUGGGUAAAAAUUUUUACUUUCUUAG